Molecule: ribosomal RNA, 721 nt
Filed under: uncultured Staphylococcus sp.
Lineage: Bacteria; Bacillati; Bacillota; Bacilli; Caryophanales; Staphylococcaceae
Description: bacterial SSU rRNA
Rfam family: Bacterial small subunit ribosomal RNA
Source: RNAcentral
CGAGCGAACAGACGAGGAGCUUGCUCCUCUGAUGUUAGCGGCGGACGGGUGAGUAACACGUGGAUAACCUACCUAUAAGACUGGGAUAACUUCGGGAAACCGGAGCUAAUACCGGAUAACAUGUUGAACCGCAUGGUUCAACAGUGAAAGACGGUCUUGCUGUCACUUAUAGAUGGAUCCGCGCCGCAUUAGCUAGUUGGUAAGGUAACGGCUUACCAAGGCAACGAUGCGUAGCCGACCUGAGAGGGUGAUCGGCCACACUGGAACUGAGACACGGUCCAGACUCCUACGGGAGGCAACAGUAGGGAAUCUUCCGCAAUGGGCGAAAGCCUGACGGAGCAACGCCGCGUGAGUGAAGAAGGUCUUCGGAUCGUAAAACUCUGUUAUUAGGGAAGAACAAAUGUGUAAGUAACUAUGCACGUCUUGACGGUACCUAAUCAGAAAGCCACGGCUAACUACGUGCCAGCAGCCGCGGUAAUACGUAGGUGGCAAGCGUUAUCCGGAAUUGUUGGGCGUAAAGCGCGCGUAGGCGGUUUUUUAAGUCUGAUGUGAAAGCCCACGGCUCAACCGUGGAGGGUCAUUGGAAACUGGAAAACUUGAGUGCAGAAGAGGAAAGUGGAAUUCCAUGUGUAGCGGUGAAAUGCGCAGAGACAUGGAGGAACACCAGUGGCGAAGGCGACUUUCUGGUCUGUAACUGACGCUGAUGUGCGAAAGCGUGGGG